AGAGUUUGAUCAUGGCUCAGGACGAACGCUGGCGGCGUGCUUAACACAUGCAAGUCGAGCGGAAAGGCCCUUUCGGGGUACUCGAGCGGCGAACGGGUGAGUAACACGUGAGUAAUCUGCCCCUAGCUCUGGGAUAGCUCCGGGAAACCGGGAUUAAUACCAGAUACGACCACACUAGACAUCUGGCGUGGUGGAAAGGAUUCCGGCUAGGGAUGAGCUCGCGGCCUAUCAGCUCGUUGGUGGGGUAACGGCCUACCAAGGCGACGACGGGUAGCCGGCCUGAGAGGGCGACCGGCCACACUGGGACUGAGACACGGCCCAGACUCCUACGGGAGGCAGCAGUGGGGAAUAUUGCGCAAUGGGCGAAAGCCUGACGCAGCGACGCCGCGUGGGGGAUGAAGGCCUUCGGGUUGUAAACCCCUUUCAGCAGGGACGAAGCGAAAGUGACGGUACCUGCAGAAGAAGCGCCGGCUAACUACGUGCCAGCAGCCGCGGUAACACGUAGGGCGCAAGCGUUGUCCGGAAUUAUUGGGCGUAAAGAGCUCGUAGGCGGUCUGUUGCGUCCGCUGUGAAAUCUCGGGGCUUAACCCCGAGCCUGCAGUGGAUACGGGCAGACUAGAGGUAGGUAGGGGAGAAUGGAAUUCCCGGUGUAGCGGUGAAAUGCGCAGAUAUCGGGAGGAACACCGGUGGCGAAGGCGGUUCUCUGGGCCUUACCUGACGCUGAGGAGCGAAAGCGUGGGGAGCGAACAGGAUUAGAUACCCUGGUAGUCCACGCCGUAAACGUUGGGCGCUAGGUGUGGGAUCCUUCCACGGAUUCCGUGCC
Molecule: ribosomal RNA, 823 nt
Filed under: uncultured bacterium
Lineage: Bacteria
Description: bacterial SSU rRNA
Rfam family: Bacterial small subunit ribosomal RNA
Source: RNAcentral